Oncorhynchus mykiss (rainbow trout) is the source of this 1337-nucleotide non-coding RNA. Lineage: Eukaryota; Metazoa; Chordata; Actinopteri; Salmoniformes; Salmonidae. The record is from RefSeq and is a predicted model, not a curated record.
GCAUUGAGAGAGUCCGUGAUGACAGUUCACAUCUUGUUUUAUUUAAGUCGCAGGUUGAUGACAUCACCAGUCUAUAUAAAAAAGGCAGGAUAUGAAAGGAUCUGUUCAAUCUGAAACGACACCCUCUAUAGGGCCGUACGUUGGACCAGGAGAGCACCAUGAAAGGGGACAUUAUUUAAGACUCACAUUAUUUAUGUCUGUAUAAAAUCGGAACCAGUGAUUGGCCAGUUACAACAGGAAAUUAGACAGUAUUAAUGUGAUUGGCCAGUUAUAACAGGAAAUGAGGCAGUAUUAAUGUGAUUGGCCGGUUAUAACAGGACAUGAGACAGUAUUAACGUGAUUGGCCAGUUAUAACAGGAAAUGAGAGACAGUUAAUUAAUGUGAUUAGUCAGUUAUAACAGGAAAUGAGAGGCAGUAUUAAUGUGAUUGGCCGGUUAUAACAGGAAAUGAGAGGCAGUAUUAAUGUGAUUGGCCGGUUAUAACAGGAAAUGAGAGGCAGUAUUAAUGUGAUUGGCCGGUUAUAACAGGAAAUGAGAGGCAGUAUUAAUGUGAUUGGCCGGUUAUAACAGGAAAUGAGAGGCAGUAUUAAUGUGAUUGGCCGGCUAUAACAGGAAAUGAGAGGCAGUAUUAAUGUGAUUGGCCGGUUCUAACAGGAAAUGAGAGGCAGUAUUAAUGUGAUUGGUCAGUUAUAACAGGAAAUAAAACCGGCAGCAUCAAAACAUAUUGAUUAUCAAUGAUAGUCCUCGUAGAGGAAGAAUGGUAGGUGAGGGGGGGGGGGGGGGGGUGAUUCUGAGGGGUGUGUGUGUCAGAGUCAGACUUUGGUCUUCUUGGUCGGGGGUUCAGGGUUGAUGUUGAGGGGUGUGUGUGUGUCAGAGUCAGACUUUGGUCUUCUUGGUCGGGGGUUCAGGGUUGAUGCUGAGGGGGGUGUGUGUGUCAGAGUCAGACUUUGGUCUUCUUGGUCGAGGGUUCAGGGUUGAUGUUGAGGGGUGUGUGUCAGACUGUGGUCUUCUUGGUCGGGGGUUCAGGGUUGAUGUUGAGGGGUGUGUGUGUGUCAGAGUCAGACUGUGGUCUUCUUGGUCGGGGGUUCAGGGUUGAUGUUGAGGGGUGUGUGUGUCAGAGUCAGACUGUGGUCUUCUUGGUCGGGGGUUCAGGGUUGAUGUUGAGGGGUGUGUGUCAGAGUCAGACUGUGGUCUUCUUGGUCGGGGGUUCAGGGUUGAUGUUGAGGGGUGUGUGUGUCAGAGUCAGACUUUGGUCUUCUUGGUCGGGGGUUCAGGGUUGAUGCUGAGGGGUGUGUGUCAGACUUUGGUCUUCUUGGUCGGGGGUUCAGGGUUGAUGUU